GCCGGCAAAACAUGGCGACAGCCUGCCGGGCCGGGCCGGGAGUACCGCUACCCUCGCAGUCGGGCGCCGUGGUCGCCCCGCCGCGCACGGUGAUGGGGUGCAAGCGGCGGGGCUCUGCAGGCAGGGCCGUUCCCGGCCGCGGGCAGUGUGAGCUUCCAGUCCGCCCAUCACCCUUCUGUCCUGGGAGGAGCGAACGGCGAGGCGGGGAGAGCGCUGGAAAACUUUCCUCGCGGGCUGUUGGCAUGGCUCGGGAGAAGGGCCGUGUUUGGGUCAGAGCUGUUCGUUCAGUAUCCUCCUUAGUCAAAACAGAUCUCGGGGCGAGUUUGCGUUUUACUGGGGCACCAUUAAAACCGUCCCAUUUACGCUUAGUCAGUUACUCUAGUAAAAAUGGUUAUUUGAAUAGGUUAUUAAAUGCUUUUCUGAGUCAACCUAAGUAAUCCAAAAGUUACAAUAAAAACCACUGGUUACAUAUCAAGUGUACUGAGAGAACUGCUCAGUAUGUAGAGGUUUCUCCUUUAACCCUUAUGUACACGUUUUGUGGGGUUUCAAAGCUGUGUAAGGUGCAUGUGCAGGUAAGACACUUCUCUAAAACUCCAGCCAUUGCAGGAAGCCAUAGAGCGUGGCUGUUUGUGCAUAUACACCUUCUGUCUUGCACCAGAAGGGUCAGGUAUUGCUUUGCAGACUCCUCUAAAGUCUUGCAUGUUCAGCAUUUGAAUUGAGCUGUCAGAGUUGGGUUGGGGAUGUUUUUAAAAUCAGAUGUUUGCAAUAGUUUUGCAUAGAAAUUUGCUGAGAGUCUAGACCAAUACAAACAAAAGAAAAUGCAAAUUCGAGAAACUAAAGCAUGGCAGAAAGCUGUUACUUGACUAGCCAGCUUUUGCAAUGCUUGCUUACUUUCUUCCUGUUAAUUUUUGCAUGUUCUUUACAGCUUGACUCUAGAUUUUGUAAAGGUGUGUGACUUUUACUGUAGUUAAGACUUGCUUUCUCAAUGUGUUCAUUUCUUCCAAAUGCCUUGUUCAUGAGAUGCCAGUUGAGUAAGACCCAAAGACCUGGCAAGAUUCACAGAAAGAAACAUGUUACAAUAACAGGCUGGAGGUGGCUAGGGAUAGUGGAAUGAUUCCUUGCUCUACAUGGUUUGAGAGAGGACUCAUCAGAGGUCCUGAACCUUCUCUUAAUUGCACUUUCAGCAAGGAAGCUGAGAUGAAAGAAACCAGCCAUGAGAGGUCACAGGAAUUUAUACUGCCCAUCUCCACAAUUACUAACAAGUAAGCACUAUAUGAUAUUAUAGGAUGGAAGUGAACUUGGUCUUUGUUAAUGACAGUUGUCACACAGGUGAGGAAUACUUAAGUGAUUUCCACAAGAGGAAACUUUUGAAACUUAUUACCAGAAGCGUAAUUCAACCAACGCCACAACUUUGCCUGCAGUGUGAAGAUGAAUGGUUAGAGUGCCUUUCCUCUGAACACAGCGAGGAACCUCAAGGAAGGGUGAGGAUGAUGAAAGCAUCAUUGUUACUGAUGCUUUUGAGGAUAAGGAGGACCUAGAGAUCUGGAGAUACUUUGGUCAUUCCUCCAUGAUCGUUAUGAGGAAGACUGUUGUUUGCUGGCACCAUUGCUUGGCAGCUGCAAGAGGAAAUGUUGCUAUUGUAUCAGGUUGAAGUCAAGAGAGUUGUGUAGCCAUUGGAUACAAUUAGGACUGGCUGAACUCUUCUGGACAUGGAUGCUUGUAAGAUGGACAUGUUAAGUUAGAGCUUUGGUGUGCAAGUGGACUGUAAGUUACAGUGUUGCUGUCUAGAUCAUCACCACCCUGUGGGGCUGGUUUUCAGAAGUGUCACUGUAAGGCUGCACAGCCUGCUUGGCCAGAACGAUGCAUCCAUUGCUUCUCUCCAUACGACCUCUCAUGUUUAAUGUACUAGUUCUGAUAAACCAUGGUUUGUUUGGUUUCUUUUUAAAUAGCCAUUCAUCAUCUGCACCCACACAGGCAUGCUUGCCUGUGGAGAUAUUGGUGCUGUAUGUGUUUAUAUAUCACUGGAGCCUUCUUACGAGAAUUGAUGAACGAGGGGAGGGUUGUGUGCUUGUCUUCCGUAAGAGAGGUGGGAGGGGUAUGUGAUUCCAUGCAUCUUGGAUCCAGGUGGAAGAAAGCCUUUGCCCUGCCCAGCUACUGCAUUGCAGUAAGAAACGUUUAAGAAUUUUAAAAUCAGAAAAAUUAUAAUAAAAGUAAUGAAAAU
This is a long non-coding RNA of Strigops habroptila (Kakapo), 2221 nucleotides long. RefSeq lists it as uncharacterized. NCBI's taxonomy places the organism in Eukaryota, Metazoa, Chordata, Aves, Psittaciformes, Psittacidae. The record is from RefSeq and is a predicted model, not a curated record. The transcript has 2 exons.